GCCGCAAAAAACACGGUCUAAGACCUGUUUAGAAAAUCGUUUCUUCCAACCUAUUGAUUUGUUUAUUGAAUGAUGGAAAGGUGUGCAUUCUCGCGGGGGUUUAAUUAGAGAGGGAGGGGUUAUCUUAGCAUAAAAGUGUCUCUCUGGGGUUCAGACGUUUAUGUUUUUAGGAGAAGCAGUAGUUGGAAUUAGGUCCUUGGUGUUGGGGUACAGUAUUUCUUGUUAAGGGAUGGUGGUAGCCACUCUCCCUGAAGUUGUUCUUACCAGUUAAAAAGUCCAUCUUUUUAAAGUUUACUAUAGUCAGGAUACGACCUUGACCUUUAAAGCCACUAUUUUUUUUUUGUUUAAACCUGACAGUUCCUGAGCCAAAACUCUUAGCAGGGAACUUUCACAUAAUAAAAUGGGUAACAAAAGAGAAAUGUUGACUGCAAAGAAGCAUCAGUGCAGAUAAAACAACAUCCAGCUUAAUAGACAUGGAUUCUCCAAAUCAAUUAAUGAUCUGGCUUCAGAAAAUUCCUAUAAAGGGGUUUGCAACAUUUUACAGAGCUUUGUGCUAUCUGUAGUCUGGAUUAGAAGUGCCAAACUACCCGGAACUGUUUUAACUUCAAAUCUGCUGUUAAUUAGAUUGGCUUAAUUAUUGGCUUUCAAUUGGACCAACUUAUCAAGACCUCCAAGCGUUUGUAGUGCUGGAAAAAAAUGAAGAGAUGCUGGACCACCCUGCUGUAGAUAAAUUCAGAAAAUAAACUCACAGUAUCGUGGCGAGCAGCGCACUCUACUGAUGAGACAAGCACACUGCACGUGAAAUGACUUCAAUGUGCCGCAGCCUCUGAACAACAUUACAAAGCCUACGCAUGCUGACGCAGCUACCCAGCUGAAAUAGUAAAAUACUUGGUGUCAUAGCACGAUUCAGCUGCAUACAACAGUACACAUUCGGAUUGCACGUUUGUCGAGCUGCAACAAAUACAAUCCAGUGUAGCUGAUGUUUUACUAAACAACAUUGGCAUGUACUGUAAGUGACUGUGAUUUCCAAAGUCUCUGACUGUGUAUUUAGUCUUUAAAGAUUAAUGGGCAAAUUUAAAGGGGAAUGUUUGAACCUUGUCUUUAACCUUGGAUAAGAGGGUCUACAGUACGUGCGCUGCUUUUGGUGCUCUGUUGUAGAAACUAGUGCUGGACCUCUUUCAAAUAUAUGAAGCCAAGGCCAUUUAAUUAAAAUUACAGGAAACUGGA
Molecule: non-coding RNA, 1227 nt
Organism: Lepisosteus oculatus (spotted gar)
Lineage: Eukaryota; Metazoa; Chordata; Actinopteri; Semionotiformes; Lepisosteidae
Source: RefSeq, a predicted model, not a curated record